This 372-nucleotide unclassified non-coding RNA is filed under the name soil metagenome. RNAcentral describes it as "partial contains 5.8S ribosomal RNA, internal transcribed spacer 2, and large subunit ribosomal RNA". The stretch from base 1 to 120 matches the Rfam family "5.8S ribosomal RNA", at positions 35 to 154 of the family's 154-position model. The record is from RNAcentral.
GAUGAAGAACGUAGCGAAAUGCGAUAAGUAAUGUGAAUUGCAGAAUUCAGUGAAUCAUCGAAUCUUUGAACGCACAUUGCGCCCCCCGGCAUUCCGGGGGGCAUGCCUGUUCGAGCGUCUCCAGGACGAAUCCUCGCGCGAGUGAACGCGCGGUCGUGGCGGAGGUGGCGUGCCCGAGCAGGGCGGCCACCGCGCUGGAAUCCAUGGGCGGACGCCUGCCGCGUGGCCGAGCGUGAUAUGACGCAUUGGCGCUCGUGCGCGGCGAGGCUGCCAGCCCUGGCCCGUCUGUCGGGCGGGGUUGAUCACCACGUGGGAACUCCUCGAAUCAGGUAGGGAUACCCGCUGAACUUAAGCAUAUCAAUAAGCGGAGGA